UGGGGAAUUUUGGACAAUGGGCGAAAGCCUGAUCCAGCCAUGCCGCGUGCAGGAUGAAGGCCUUCGGGUUGUAAACUGCUUUUGUACGGAACGAAAAGACUCUGGUUAAUACCUGGGGUCCAUGACGGUACCGUAAGAAUAAGCACCGGCUAACUACGUGCCAGCAGCCGCGGUAAUACGUAGGGUGCAAGCGUUAAUCGGAAUUACUGGGCGUAAAGCGUGCGCAGGCGGUUAUAUAAGACAGAUGUGAAAUCCCCGGGGCUCAACCUGGGAACUGCAUUUUGUGACUGUAUAGCUAGAGUACGGCAGAGGGGGGAUGGAAUUUCCGCGUGUAGCAGUGAAAUGCGUAGAUAUGCGGAGGAACACCGAUGGCGAAGGCAAUCCCCUGGGCCUGUACUGACGCUCAUGCACGAAAGCGUGGGGGAGCAAACAGGAUUAGAUACCCUGGUAGUCCACGCCCUAAACGAUGUCAACUGGUUGUUGGGGUCUUUCACUGACUCAGUAACGAAGCUAACGCGUGAAGUUGACCGCCUGGGGAGU
This 540-nucleotide ribosomal RNA is filed under the name uncultured bacterium. Its description in RNAcentral is "partial 16S ribosomal RNA". It matches the Rfam family "Bacterial small subunit ribosomal RNA", at positions 355 to 881 of the family's 1533-position model. The record is from RNAcentral.